AACCAUAGAAACCUGCGGAGUACCUGCGGAGGGAUCAUUAAAAUAUAUUGUGGUUUUUUUUAAAACCAUUUUCCUUGUGAUUUCCGUAUACGUUCACUUUGGCAGGCUUUGGGCUGUGACUAGCUCAACUUUUAGAUCUCAUUCACGAGGUUACGAAAGAGGCCUGCCAGAGGUUUUUUCAAAUCACUUGUUUAAAUUAUCGUCUGAAAAAUUUUCUCGUUCGAGAGAAAUAAAUACAAA
This 240-nucleotide unclassified non-coding RNA is filed under the name soil metagenome. RNAcentral describes it as "partial contains 5.8S ribosomal RNA, internal transcribed spacer 2, and large subunit ribosomal RNA". The record is from RNAcentral.